RNAcentral lists this transfer RNA (63 nucleotides) under Dyscia penulataria. Its description in RNAcentral is "transfer RNA-Leu". The record is from RNAcentral. Lineage: Eukaryota; Metazoa; Arthropoda; Insecta; Lepidoptera; Geometridae.
GCUAUUUUGGCAGAAUUUAUGUAAUGAUUUUAGAAUUCAUAGAUAUAUAAUUUAUUUAUAUAG